RNAcentral lists this ribosomal RNA (497 nucleotides) under uncultured bacterium. RNAcentral describes it as "partial 16S ribosomal RNA". It matches the Rfam family "Bacterial small subunit ribosomal RNA", at positions 28 to 507 of the family's 1533-position model. The record is from RNAcentral.
GAUGAACGCUGGCGGCGUGCCUAAUACAUGCAAGUCGAGCGAACAGACGAGGAGCUUGCUCCUCUGACGUUAGCGGCGGACGGGUGAGUAACACGUGGAUAACCUACCUAUAAGACUGGGAUAACUUCGGGAAACCGGAGCUAAUACCGGAUAAUAUAUUGAACCGCAUGGUUCAAUAGUGAAAGACGGUUUUGCUGUCACUUAUAGAUGGAUCCGCGCCGCAUUAGCUAGUUGGUAAGGUAACGGCUUACCAAGGCAACGAUGCGUAGCCGACCUGAGAGGGUGAUCGGCCACACUGGAGCUGAGACACGGUCCAGACUCCUGCGGGAGGCAGCAGUAGGGAAUCUUCCGCAAUGGGCGAAAGCCUGACGGAGCGACGCCGCGUGAGUGAUGAAGGUCUUCGGAUCGUAAAACUCUGUUAUUAGGGAAGAACAAAUGUGUAAGUAACUAUGCACGUCUUGACGGUACCUAAUCAGAAAGCCACGGCUAACUACGUG